This 1275-nucleotide ribosomal RNA is filed under the name metagenome. Its description in RNAcentral is "SSU rRNA". It matches the Rfam family "Eukaryotic small subunit ribosomal RNA", at positions 558 to 1823 of the family's 1831-position model. The record is from RNAcentral.
AGUCUGGUGCCAGCAGCCGCGGUAAUUCCAGCUCCAAUAGGAUAUAUCAAAGUUGUUGCAGUUAAAAAGCUCGUAGUUGAAUUUCUGGAAGGUAGAAGAGUUUUUUUUAGAGAAGCAAUUUUUAUGAAAGACACCGCUUUCCAUUUUGUGGAUUUCUGUUUUGUAUGAAGAUAGUUUACUCUAUUUUUGUAUAAAAUACCACUCCGUCACUGAGAGCAAAUUGGAGUGCUCAAAGCAGGCUUUAUUAGCUUUGAACAUUUUAGCUUGGAAUGACAAGAUAUGACUUUUGUUUUAUUUUGUUGGUUAUGAAAUAAAAGUAAUGAUUAACAGGAACAGUUGCGGGGGUACUCGUAUUGAAAGGUCAGAGGUGAAAUUCUUGGAUUCUUUCAAGACGAACGACUGCGAAAGCAUUUACCAAGGAUGUUUUCAUUAAUCAAGAACGAAAGCUCGGGGAUCGAAGAUGAUUAGAUACCAUCGUAGUCCGACGCCAUAAACGAUGCCGACUCGGGAUUAUUUUGUUAGUUUAAAAUAAAAAAGAACACAAAGUAGCACCGUAUGAGAAAUCAAAGUCUUUGGGUUCCGGGGGGAGUAUGGUCGCAAGGCUGAAACUUAAAGGAAUUGACGGAAGGGCACACCAGAGGUGGAGCCUGCGGUUUAAUUUGACCAACACGGGGAAACUUACCAGGUCCAGACAUGAUGAGGAUUGACAGUUUGAAAGCACUUUCUUGAUUUCAUGGGUGGUGGUGCAUGGCCGUUCUUAGUUGGUGGAGUGAUUUGUCUGGUUGAUUCCGAUAACGAACGAGACGGGGUGAAUUUACUAGUUUGUUAUAUAAUUUACGUUAUAUAAGACUUCUUUAUUCGACAACUUGGUUUUACCAAGAGGAAGCGCCCCGCAAUAACAGGUCUGUGAUGCCCUUAGAUGUUCUGGGCUACACGCGCGCUACAAUGACGAAUUCAACGAGUUUAAAAUUAAUUCCUUAUCCGGAAGGAUGUGGGUAAUCUUUUCAAUAUUCGUCGUGAUGGGGCUAGAUUUUUGCAAUUAUUAAUCUUCAACGAGGAAUCUCUAGUAUGUGCAAGUCAUCAGCUUGCGCAGAAUGCGUCCCUGCCCUUUGUUCACACCGCCCGUCGCACCUACCGAUUGGACGAUCCGGCAAGAUGUUUGGAGUUGUUUUGAUUGUAGAGUAAUUUAUGAUGAAAAUGACAAAGCUCUUCAAACCUUAUCGUCUAGAGGAAGGUGAAGUCGUAACAAGGUCUCCGUAGGUGAACCUGCGGAGG